GGCCCAUACUGGGUUAUAUUGGCCCCUACUGGGUCAUACGGGUCCUUACUGGUCUAUAUUAAGUUAUACUGGCCCAUACUGGAUUGUACUGGGCCAUACUGAGUUAUAUUGGACCAUAGCAGGUGAUAGUGGCCCAUACUGGGUCAUACUCGUCCAUACUGGUCCAUACUGGGUUAUACUACCCACAGCCAGCAUGUGCUGGUGGGGCCAUGGUCAGGGUCAUACUGGUGGGUACUGGUCUACAGUGGUCCAUACCGUUCUAUAGUGGUGCUUACUGGCCCAUAGUGGUCUAUACUGGUGCGUACUGUUUUAUACCGGUGCAUACAGGUCUAUAAUAGCGCUUACUGGUCUAUAGCGGUGCAUACUGGCCCAUAGUGGUCUAUACUGGUGCAUACUGUUUUAUACUGGUGCAUACUGGUCUAUAAUAGUGCGUACUGGUCUACACUGGUGCUUACUGGCCCAUAGUGGUCUAUACUGGUGCGAACUGUUUUAUACUGGUGCAUACUGGUCUAUACUGGUGCUUACUGGUCUAUACUGGUGCAUAUUGACCCAUAGUGGUCUAUACUGGUGCGUACUGCUUUAUACUGGUGCAUACUGGUCUAUACUGCUGUGUACUGGUCUACAGUGGUGCAUACUGGUCUAUAGUGGUGCAUACUGGCCCAUAGUGGUCUGUGCUGUUGCGUACUGUUUUAUAGUGGUGCAUACUGGUUUAUACUGGUGCAUACUGGCCCAUAGUGGUGCAUACUGGCCCACAGUGGUCUGUGCUGUUGCGUACUGUUUUAUAGUGGUGCAUACUGGUCUAUACUGGUGCAUACUGGCCCAUAGUGGUACGUACUGGCCCACAGUCGUCUAUGCCGGUGUGUACUGGUGUGUACUGGUGCAUACUGGUGCAUACUGGCGCCCGCAGGUGGAGGUGCGGCGGACGGCGCGGGGGGCGGCGCUGCGCCCCCAGGCCCCCCUGGGGCUGAUGGUGACGGUGACGGUGACGGAGCCGGGGCCGGUGGCUGUGGCCCUGGGAGCCGUCGACGGCGCCGUGCUGGCCCUCGACAGGCGCCGCCGCCUCAGCCCCGAGCAGGUGCCGCAGCCCCCAACUGUCCCCCGGGACCCCCNNNNNNNNNNNNNNNNNNNNNNNNNNNNNNNNNNNNNNNNNN
Molecule: long non-coding RNA, 1151 nt
Filed under: Apteryx haastii (Great spotted kiwi)
Lineage: Eukaryota; Metazoa; Chordata; Aves; Apterygiformes; Apterygidae
Description: lncRNA (ENSAHAG00000009242.1)
Source: RNAcentral